RNAcentral lists this long non-coding RNA (3052 nucleotides) under Hordeum vulgare. RNAcentral describes it as "long non-coding RNA (HVUL_LNC016210)". Lineage: Eukaryota; Viridiplantae; Streptophyta; Magnoliopsida; Poales; Poaceae. The record is from RNAcentral.
GCAGAUGAUGCGAAGACUGGAGCCACUGAACCAAGCGGUGGGAUCGAGCAGCCAUAGCGCAUUGGCUGGAGGCGGCCUUCUUCUUCGCACAUAUCUACACUUCAGUGCCCCCCCUCGCGCGUCCGGCCGGAGCUACGGGCGACUUAGUUGCUCCUGUAGGACCCGAGCUUGGCGGCGCUGGCCCUCAGCACAUACUGGUGGUAGGCGGCGGCAAUGGCGGCGCCGAUCAGUGGCCCCACCCAGAAGAUCCACUGCACGAACACAAACAGCAAUCAGCACGUGGCAGGCAGAUCAGCGCCAGAGGCGCCCGCUUCAUUGGAAGAUUAUGUGAUGUAGGAUAUCCGAAGCAAUCUUUAUAACGAUUUGAUUCUCCAUGGUUAGAGAAACUGAAGAAAUUAGCAUAGUUAGAUCAUUUGGUCGAUGGUGACAUGCAAUUCAGCGGAUUUUAAAACUGGUUGUUAUGUUACACGGGGCAUCUUUUAGGUGGGCGUGAGGUAGGGAUUAGGUUUUAUAUCACCUCAAGACAGUGGAUGAGUAUGUCAUGCAUAACCUAUAAGUGAGUAGUUCGAAUGAUGAUAGAUGAAAUUUUGGAGUGUUGACACUGACACCAGCUAGCUAGCUGUUUAAUUAUUAAUUUUGCCAGCCUUAUCCUGCCGUUCAUCUGCAGUAUUUUCGAAAGCAGACGUCCGUUUGCAAUAUACUAUUCAUGUGUUAUUUGUCAGCCUUAUCCUGAUUACUAAUAAGUAUAUUAAGUAACUAAUCAUGAUAAGUUUUCUUUUUAAUAUCAACUAAGCAUGAUAAGUUAAUCAAAUAUAUGCCGUGUGAUUGUCAAUUCAGUCUAGAGUUAUCAAGUACUAGUCGAUUGCGAGUUGUGAUCAAAGUUAAGUAGCAGUAGCUGAUAAAUAUUUUAUGCCGUUGCUUAGCUGUACUAAGUAUACUAGUCUAGUAGCAUAUAACUCUAUUGGCCAUGAUAAUGUACUGAUGUCUCGUACUUGGUCAUCCCAGGCCUUGUCAGUGUUGUAGAUGACAGCAGCUCCCAAGCUUCUCGCGGGGUUGAUGCCGGUGCCGGUGAUGGGGAUGGUGGCCAAGUGGACCAUGAACACAGCGAAUCCGAUUGGGAGAGGAGCCAGCACCUGAGUAGAUCAGUAAGUUCAAAACAUUCAGAUCAAGCCGUAAACACACAUCAGCUUAACUAGCAUGCACGCUGAGCAGUUACAUCAAAGAGACUGACAAGAGCAAGCAUCUUGCUCAAUAUUAUACUGCUAAUUAAGGACAAAACAAGUCGCUGAUUUUGUAAAUGUUGCUAUACUUUUUAGGUUAAUUGUAGAUAUUAUUUCUAAAUUGAAUAUACAUUUCAACACAAAAGAAAGCCACUAAGAGCAUGCUUGUUUGAGAAUUGUGGAACUAGAAAGGGAUGGUUCAACAAAUCUGAAGGACAAAAUAGGUCCAGGCAUGACAUUAUCCCUGGACUUCUGCAAUUUGUUCCUACCCAUGGAAUAUAUCUCGUCAUUAAUUGGUGGCGAUCAUUUUCGAUUCGCCACCACAGAUUUUCUGUAGACGAUGAGGCGAGACAGCGACUAGUGCCUAAUUGAACGAGAGAAUCUUCCUAUCUGCCUAUUGGCACGCAGUGGAUCAGACAAGAAGAUACAUUCGCACAUGCAGGUGCUUGAUGUAGAGUGAUUCGUCAAUUUUGGACCAUAGAUCUUGCAUUUUUUGGGGCACUUUAGCAUUUAGGUUCAUUAAAAUGCUUCAUUUUGUCAGGAUUUGUGAACUUGGUUGCCCUACUCCGGCGCUCCCUCCCAAAAGUAUUUUGCUACUAUAGCACUGCAAAAAUGCUAUAUCUACGUAAGUAACUAACGUAAACUUACGUUCCUUAUUUCCUUAACCAAUCACCGGUCCCCUGAUUUUUAGGGAUGGGCCUGUAUUGUUUUUAUCUUUCAACUAACUCAUGCCAGAUCAUCUUAAACGUAAGUUUACGUUAAAAACUUACGUAGAUGUAUCAAAGCUCAUAGCACUGGUAGUAGAAAUUGAGUAUAUGAUUUGAUAAUCGCUUUUUAGUUUUUACCAACUAUUAACUUCAGUAAUUCGAGUUUAACUUACUAGAAUAUUCUUUCUGAGCACACUUGUUAGAAUGUUUUCUCGUUCUUAAGUAAGUUGUUCCAAUACUAAGUCAACGACUUCCGCAGCACUUUGAUCUGCAGCCAAUUCUAUCAUUGGCCAUAAACCCAUAUACUCUAAAGUGUACUUUUCUUUUGAUGGACACUGUAAAGUGUCUCUAUGGUUUAAUGGUAUAUAUACUGCUACGCUAUAGUAGCCAUGAGCGAUGCAACUAGCGAGACGUUUCAGUAGCCAGUCUCAGUAGUAGUACUAGUACUCACCGGGAUGUGGGAAUCACGGGCGUUGCGCUUGGGGUCGGUGGCGGAGAAGACCGUGUAGACGAGCACGAAGGUGCCGAUGAUCUCGGCCGCUAGACCGGUGCCCUUGGAGUAGCCUGCGCUGAGCUCGUUGGCGCCACCGCCGUACCGCACGUAGUAGGAGCUCUGGAAGCCCUUGACAAGGCCGACGCCGCAGAUGGCGCCGAGGCACUGCGCGAUGAUGUAGAGCAGCGCCCGGAUGAGCGACACCUUCCUCGCCAGGAACAACCCGAAGGUCACCGCCGGGUUGAUGUGUCCACCUAUGCAUCGUGAAGAGAGAACGCGGGUCAGUCACACGCAUGUGCAUGAUGCAUGCAUACAUGCAGUUAGUAUGCGCGAGAAGUUAAGAGAACUAGUGGUCGAUCGACGGACGGACCUGAGACGCCGGCGGUGCAGUAGACGAGGACGAAGAUCAUGCCGCCGAAGGCCCAUGCUAUGCCGAGGAUGCCGACGCCGCUGCAGGCCGCGUCGGUGGUGUUGACGGUGGGGUCGGACUGGUGCUUGUACCCGAUGACGGUGGCCACGGUGAUGUAGAGGAAGAGGAGCGUGGCGACGAACUCGGCGAUCACCGCGCGGUACAGCGACCACUUGGUCAGCUCCUCGAAGUCCACGAUCGGCGCCGGGGGCGGGUCCGAGUA